RNAcentral lists this ribosomal RNA (448 nucleotides) under uncultured bacterium. RNAcentral's name for it is "bacterial SSU rRNA". It matches the Rfam family "Bacterial small subunit ribosomal RNA", at positions 328 to 793 of the family's 1533-position model. The record is from RNAcentral.
CUCUGUGACUCCUACGGGAGGCAGCAGUGGGGAAUAUUGCACAAUGGGCGCAAGCCUGAUGCAGCAACGCCGCGUGAGCGAUGAAGGCCUUCGGGUCGUAAAGCUCUGUCCUCAAGGAAGAAUAAAUGACGGUACUUGAGGAGGAAGCCCCCGGCUAACUACGUGCCAGCAGCCGCGGUAAUACGUAGGGGCAAGCGUUAUCCGGAAUCACUGGGCGUAAAGGGUGCGUAGGCGGUUUUUCAAGUCAGAAGUGAAAGGCUAUGGCUCAACCAUAGUAAGCUUUUGAAACUGUUAAACUUGAGUGCAGGAGAGGAAAGUGGAAUUCCUAGUGUAGAGGUGAAAUUCGUAGAUAUUAGGAGGAACACCAGUGGCGAAGGCGACUUUCUGGACUGUAACUGACGCUGAGGCACGAAAGCGUGGGGAGCGAACAGGAUUAGAUACCCUGUAG